This 72-nucleotide transfer RNA is filed under the name bacterium. Its description in RNAcentral is "tRNA-Thr". It matches the Rfam family "tRNA". Rfam says of the family: Transfer RNA (tRNA) molecules are approximately 80 nucleotides in length. Their secondary structure includes four short double-helical elements and three loops (D, anti-codon, and T loops). The record is from RNAcentral.
GCACUCAUAGCUCAGUGGCAGAGCGCGCGUUUAGUAAGCUCGAGGUCGGGAGUUCGAACCUCCCUGAGUGCA